This 428-nucleotide ribosomal RNA is filed under the name uncultured bacterium. RNAcentral describes it as "bacterial SSU rRNA". It matches the Rfam family "Bacterial small subunit ribosomal RNA", at positions 917 to 1341 of the family's 1533-position model. The record is from RNAcentral.
GGGCCCGCACAAGCGGUGGAGGAUGUGGCUUAAUUCGAGGCUACGCGAAGAACCUUACCUAGACUUAACAUGUUUGAGAAUCUCUGUGAAAGCAGAGAGUGCCUUUCGGGGAACUCUUACGUAGGUGCUGCAUGGCUGUCGUCAGCUCGUGUCGUGAGAUGUCGGGUUAAGUCCCUUAACGAGCGAAACCCUUAUCUUCAGUUGCCAGCGAGUAAUGUCGGGGACUCUGGAGAGACUGCCGGUGUUAAACCGGAGGAAGGUGGGGAUGACGUCAAGUCCUCAUGGCCUUUAUAUCCAGGGCUACACACGUGCUACAAUGGUCGGUACAGAAGGCAGCCAAGCCGUGAGGUGGAGCGAACCCUAGAAAACCGAUCUCAGUUCGGAUUGUAGUCUGCAACUCGACUACAUGAAGUUGGAAUUGCUAGUAA